UGCGGCGUAACUCCGGUUGAUCCUGCCGGACCCGACUGCUAUCGGGGUGGGGCUAAGCCAUGCAAGUCUCGGGGCCGAGGCAAUGGUCGGUCCCGGCGCACGGCUGAGUAACACGUGGCUAACCUACCCUCGGGAGGGGGAUAACCCCGGGAAACUGGGGCUAAUACCCCAUAGGCGCAGACACCUGGAAUGGGUCUGCGCCGAAAAGGUUGCGGCGCCAUGCUCGCCGCAAUCGCCCGAGGAUGGGGCUGCGCCCUAUCAGGUAGUUGGCGGGGUAAAGGCCCGCCAAGCCGAUAACGGGUAGGGGCCGUGAGAGCGGGAGCCCCCAGAUGGGCACUGAGACAAGGGCCCAGGCUCUACGG
Molecule: ribosomal RNA, 362 nt
Filed under: Thermoprotei archaeon
Lineage: Archaea; Thermoproteati; Thermoproteota; Thermoprotei
Description: bacterial SSU rRNA
Rfam family: Archaeal small subunit ribosomal RNA
Source: RNAcentral